This 293-nucleotide ribosomal RNA is filed under the name uncultured bacterium. RNAcentral's name for it is "partial 16S ribosomal RNA". It matches the Rfam family "Bacterial small subunit ribosomal RNA", at positions 505 to 796 of the family's 1533-position model. The record is from RNAcentral.
GUGUCAGCCGCCGCGGUAAUACGUAGUGUCCGAGCGUUGUCCGGAUUUAUUGGGCGUAAAGAGCUCGUAGGCGGCUCACUAAGUCGGAUGUGAAAACUCGGGGCUCAACCCCGAGACGCCAUCCGAUACUGGUGUGGCUUGAAUCUGGUAGGGGAGAUCGGAAUUCCUGGUGUAGCGGUGAAAUGCGCAGAUAUCAGGAGGAACACCGGUGGCGAAGGCGGAUCUCUGGGCCAGUAUUGACGCUGAGGAGCGAAAGCGUGGGUAGCAAACAGGAUUAGAUACCCCGGUAGUCC